Molecule: ribosomal RNA, 499 nt
Filed under: uncultured bacterium
Lineage: Bacteria
Description: partial 16S ribosomal RNA
Rfam family: Bacterial small subunit ribosomal RNA
Source: RNAcentral
AUUGAACGCUGGCGGCAUGCUUUACACAUGCAAGUCGCACGGUAACAGGGUGCUUGCACCGCUGACGAGUGGCGAACGGGUGAGUAAUGCGUCGGAACGUGCCGAGUAGUGGGGGAUAACGCAGCGAAAGUUGUGCUAAUACCGCAUACGUACUGAGGUAGAAAGUGGGGGACCUUCGGGCCUCACGCUAUUCGAGCGGCCGACGUCUGAUUAGCUAGUAGGUGGGGUAAAGGCUCACCUAGGCGACGAUCAGUAGCGGGUCUGAGUGGACGAUCCGCCCCACUGGGACUGAGACACGGCCCAGCCUCCUACGGGAGGCAGCAGUGGGGAACUUUGGACAAUGGGCGAAAGCCUGAUCCAGCCAUGCCGCGUGUCUGAAGAAGGCCUUCGGGUUGUAAAGGCCUUUUGUCAGGGAGGAAAUCCCUAGUGCUAAUAACACUGGGGGAUGACAGUACCUGAAGAAUAAGCACCGGCUAACUACGUGCCAGCAGCCGCGUAA